RNAcentral lists this transfer RNA (80 nucleotides) under Araneus ventricosus. Its description in RNAcentral is "tRNA-Leu". The record is from RNAcentral. Lineage: Eukaryota; Metazoa; Arthropoda; Arachnida; Araneae; Araneidae.
UGGCAGCGGUGGGAUUCGAACCCACGCCUCGAAAGACUGGUGCUUGAAUCCAGCGCCUUAGACCACUCGUCCACGCUACC